GAACUGCGAAAAGUAAUGUGACCUGCAAACUUCGUGAAUCAUCCAAUCUUUGAACGCAACUUGCACCUGAUGGCUUUUGUCAACAGGUAUACUUGUUUGAGUAUCAUUAACACUCUCUCACACUUGUGUGGGGAAUUGAGCGUCUCGACAGAGUCGUUUUAAAGGUAGACCUGAGCGUACCUCUUGGACGUAUGGUCUAUUGGGAUAACAUCCUAACAGUAGACUGUUCAUGAUGGUCAGUUAUCGUAAGAUAACCUCAUGUACCCGUCCGUAAGGACAACUUUUAAACAUUGAUCUCAAAUCAAGUAAGGAUACCCGCUGGAUUUAA
Molecule: unclassified non-coding RNA, 328 nt
Filed under: uncultured fungus
Lineage: Eukaryota; Fungi
Description: sequence contains ITS1
Rfam family: 5.8S ribosomal RNA (bases 1-106)
Source: RNAcentral